GACGAACGCUGGCGGCGUGCUUAACACAUGCAAGUCGAACGGAAAGGCCCUGCUUUUGUGGGGUGCUCGAGUGGCGAACGGGUGAGUAACACGUGAGUAACCUGCCCUUGACUUUGGGAUAACUUCAGGAAACUGGGGCUAAUACCGGAUAGGAGCUCCUGCUGCAUGGUGGGGGUUGGAAAGUUUCGGCGGUUGGGAUGGACUCGCGGCUUAUCAGCUUGUUGGUGGGGUAGUGGCUUACCAAGGCUUUGACGGGUAGCCGGCCUGAGAGGGUGACCGGCCACAUUGGGACUGAGAUACGGCCCAGACUCCUACGGGAGGCAGCAGUGGGGAAUAUUGCACAAUGGGCGGAAGCCUGAUGCAGCAACGCCGCGUGCGGGAUGACGGCCUUCGGGUUGUAAACCGCUUUCGCCUGUGACGAAGCGUGAGUGACGGUAAUGGGUAAAGAAGCACCGGCUAACUACGU
RNAcentral lists this ribosomal RNA (466 nucleotides) under uncultured bacterium. RNAcentral describes it as "partial 16S ribosomal RNA". It matches the Rfam family "Bacterial small subunit ribosomal RNA", at positions 28 to 506 of the family's 1533-position model. The record is from RNAcentral.